GACGAACGCUGGCGGCGUGCUUAACACAUGCAAGUCGAACGGAAAGGCCCUGCUUUUGUGGGGUGCUCGAGUGGCGAACGGGUGAGUAACACGUGAGUAACCUGCCCUUGACUUUGGGAUAACUUCAGGAAACUGGGGCUAAUACCGGAUAGGAGCUCCUGCUGCAUGGUGGGGGUUGGAAAGUUUCGGCGGUUGGGGAUGGAUUCGCGGCUUAUCAGCUUGUUGGUGGGGUAGUGGCUUACCAAGGCUUUGACGGGUAGCCGGCCUGAGCGGGUGACCGGCCACAUUGGGACUGAGAUGCGGCCCAGACUCCUACGGGAGGCAGCAGUGGGGAAUAUUGCUCAAUGGGCGGAAGCCUGAUGCAGCAACGCCGCGUGCGGGAUGACGGCCUUCGGGUUGUAAACCGCUUUCGCCUGUGACGAAGCGUGAGUGACGGUAAUGGGUAAAGAAGCACCGGCUAACUACGUG
This 468-nucleotide ribosomal RNA is filed under the name uncultured bacterium. Its description in RNAcentral is "partial 16S ribosomal RNA". It matches the Rfam family "Bacterial small subunit ribosomal RNA", at positions 28 to 507 of the family's 1533-position model. The record is from RNAcentral.